UGGGGGAAUAUUGCACAAUGGGGGAAACCCUGAUGCAGCGACGCCGCGUGAGUGAAGAAGUAUUUCGGUAUGUAAAGCUCUGUCAGCAGGGAAGAAAAUGACGGUACCUGACCAAGAAGCCCCGGCUAACUACGUGCC
This 138-nucleotide ribosomal RNA is filed under the name uncultured bacterium. RNAcentral describes it as "partial 16S ribosomal RNA". It matches the Rfam family "Bacterial small subunit ribosomal RNA", at positions 354 to 509 of the family's 1533-position model. The record is from RNAcentral.